GGGUCGGUAGUCUAGUGGUAUGAUUCCUGCUUUGGGAGCAGGAGGUCCAGGGUUCAAUUCCCUGUCGACCCC
Molecule: transfer RNA, 72 nt
Organism: Ogataea parapolymorpha DL-1
Lineage: Eukaryota; Fungi; Ascomycota; Pichiomycetes; Pichiales; Pichiaceae
Rfam family: tRNA
About the family: Transfer RNA (tRNA) molecules are approximately 80 nucleotides in length. Their secondary structure includes four short double-helical elements and three loops (D, anti-codon, and T loops). Further hydrogen bonds mediate the characteristic L-shaped molecular structure. tRNAs have two regions of fundamental functional importance: the anti-codon, which is responsible for specific mRNA codon recognition, and the 3' end, to which the tRNAs corresponding amino acid is attached (by aminoacyl-tRNA synthetases). tRNAs cope with the degeneracy of the genetic code in two manners: having more than one tRNA (with a specific anti-codon) for a particular amino acid; and 'wobble' base-pairing, i.e. permitting non-standard base-pairing at the 3rd anti-codon position.
Source: Rfam